GAUGAACGCUAGCUACAGGCUUAACACAUGCAAGUCGAGGGGAAACGACAUCGGAAGCUUGCUUUGAUGGGCGUCGACCGGCGCACGGGUGAGUAACGCGUAUCCAACCUGCCCACCACUUGGGGAUAACCUUGCGAAAGUAAGACUAAUACCCAAUGACGUCUCUAGAAGACAUCUGAAAGGGAUUAAAGAUUUAUCGGUGAUGGAUGGGGAUGCGUCUGAUUAGCUUGUUGGCGGGGUAACGGCCCACCAAGGCGACGAUCAGUAGGGGUUCUGAGAGGAAGGUCCCCCACAUUGGAACUGAGACACGGUCCAAACUCCUACGGGAGGCGGCAGUGAGGAAUAUUGGUCAAUGGGCGAGAGCCUGAACCAGCCAAGUCGCGUGAGGGAAGACGGUCCUACGGAUUGUAAACCUCUUUUGUCGGGGAGUAACGUGCGGGACGCGUCCCGUAUUGAGAGUACCCGAAGAAAAAGCAUCGGCUAACUCCGUG
This 491-nucleotide ribosomal RNA is filed under the name uncultured bacterium. Its description in RNAcentral is "bacterial SSU rRNA". It matches the Rfam family "Bacterial small subunit ribosomal RNA", at positions 28 to 507 of the family's 1533-position model. The record is from RNAcentral.